Non-coding RNA from Pelobates cultripes (western spadefoot toad), 317 nucleotides. NCBI's taxonomy places the organism in Eukaryota, Metazoa, Chordata, Amphibia, Anura, Pelobatidae. The record is from the annotation of a GenBank genome assembly.
CCGGCAUCCCCAGUCCACUUUGGACAUAAGGAAGUCCCAGACACCCUUUAUUCACUCUCGGGGGUUUCCUCUUCCAGAUGUGAGCAUUGAUCGUGCUUUGGAAUUGUUUGAGCAGCACAGUCGGGAGGAAUAUGGGCAGGGUUCUGAAUAGGUAUAGGAUGUGUGGCAGUGUCAUCAUUUUAAUUAGGUUGAUACGUCCGAGCCAUGAGGUAUCCAUGUUAGCCCACUGUUCGAGGGAGGAUUUGAUUUUCUUUAGCACGGGGUAGUGAUUUUCUUUGGUCACCGUUUGGAGGGAUUUGGUGAGGUUUACACCUAAG